This 253-nucleotide ribosomal RNA is filed under the name uncultured bacterium. Its description in RNAcentral is "partial 16S ribosomal RNA". It matches the Rfam family "Bacterial small subunit ribosomal RNA", at positions 524 to 776 of the family's 1533-position model. The record is from RNAcentral.
UACAGAGGUCCCAAGCGUUGUUCGGAUUCACUGGGCGUAAAGGGUGCGUAGGUGGCCAGGUAAGUUUGGUGUGAAAGCUCGGAGCUUAACUCCGAAAUGUCAUUGAAUACUAUCUGGCUGGAGGGUCGGAGGGGAGACUGGAAUUCUCGGUGUAGCAGUGAAAUGCGUAGAUAUCGAGAGGAACACCUGCGGCGAAGGCGGGUUGCUGGGCUGACACUGACGCUGAACUGCGAAAGCUAGGGGAGCGAACGGG